RNAcentral lists this ribosomal RNA (465 nucleotides) under Vreelandella stevensii. RNAcentral's name for it is "partial 16S ribosomal RNA". It matches the Rfam family "Bacterial small subunit ribosomal RNA", at positions 338 to 795 of the family's 1533-position model. Lineage: Bacteria; Pseudomonadati; Pseudomonadota; Gammaproteobacteria; Oceanospirillales; Halomonadaceae. The record is from RNAcentral.
CCUACGGGAGGCUGCAGUGGGGAAUAUUGGACAAUGGGGGGAACCCUGAUCCAGCCAUGCCGCGUGUGUGAAGAAGGCCCUCGGGUUGUAAAGCACUUUCAGUGAGGAAGAACGCCUGGUGGUUAAUACCCAUCAGGAAAGACAUCACUCACAGAAGAAGCACCGGCUAACUCCGUGCCAGCAGCCGCGGUAAUACGGAGGGUGCGAGCGUUAAUCGGAAUUACUGGGCGUAAAGCGCGCGUAGGUGGCUUGAUAAGCCGGUUGUGAAAGCCCCGGGCUCAAUCUGGGAACGGCAUCCGGAACUGUCAAGCUAGAGUGCAGGAGAGGAAGGUAGAAUUCCCGGUGUAGCGGUGAAAUGCGUAGAGAUCGGGAGGAAUACCGGUGGCGAAGGCGGCCUUCUGGACUGACACUGACACUGAGGUGCGAAAGCGUGGGUAGCAAACAGGAUUAGAUACCCCGGUAGUC